RNAcentral lists this long non-coding RNA (1169 nucleotides) under Sinocyclocheilus grahami. Its description in RNAcentral is "lncRNA (ENSSGRG00000030854.1)". The record is from RNAcentral. Lineage: Eukaryota; Metazoa; Chordata; Actinopteri; Cypriniformes; Cyprinidae.
AUGACAUACAUUUCUCUGUUUUUAAGUAUAUGUUUAUAAAUUUCUAUUUUGCCAUCUUUCCAUGAAUUGUAUUAGUGAUUAUUAAGAAAAUACAUCUUUUGUAUGUAUUCAGAGGGGGUGUGCUCAUUUAUGCUGUGCACUGUACAUAUUCCUUUCAACUGCUGCAAACUUUAAACUGUUCUUAUCAUCCUUUCAGCCAAGAAUGACUCAGACACAGAGGUGAAUUCAAGUGGCCUGAAGGAAAACGAUGGUGACUCAGAUAUGAGCAGUGAUGAAGCUGACAGCCCCAGCAGGUAUGAGGGGGCGGAGUUUAAGAGUUCUCUGAGAAACUUUGAACUGUCUGAAAGCAAAAGGACACGCCUCCGAGAACUUGAGGUGAAGGUGAUGAAUUUCCAGGAUGAGUUGGAAUCGAGUAAGAGACAGAGGAAGUCCAGUAUGACUCUCCAACAGCAAGUUCAACACUACAGAAACAGACUGCUACAGAAGGAGUUUGACAAGGACGACCAGGAAAAGAAAGACAAAUAUUCACAAAAACAGAAAGACCGGUCCAAAAAAGACGAGCGGAGAGAUAAAGGGGAGGACAGGAGUAAAACAAGGGAUAAAGAAAAAAGUAGAAAGAGUGAGGACCGAGAAAGGAGUAGAGGAAGGAGUCGAGACAAAGAAGAGAGGAGAGAGAGGUAUGCACUCAUCUCUCUCUCUCACACACACACACACACACACACACACAGAGUUUAUUACAUUCCAUUAUCAUUCAAAAACAAUUAUUCACAAUACCUUGACCCAGCACAAUGCAUCAAGUUUUCAGCGACAAGUAAUUUUGUCCCCUUGGAAUUAUAAGGUUCUAUCUGACAUUUUUGUCAAAAUUAAGUUAUUCACAUAUUCUUAUUCUGUGACAACUUGUAUACAUAAUGUGAUAGAUUUUUUAAUGUUGUGUAAUUUUAGGCCUUUUUAUUUAAAAAAACAAAAAGGUUCUAUCUACACAGUCGAACUUUGAAGCUCAAUAUCUCAAAAUUACUCGGAAUGCAGAUAGAACAUUAUAAUACCAAGGGGACGAUUUGUCUAUUCACACUAAAAUCAAACAACACUUACAGCCAAUCAGAGCAGAGACUACCGUUCAAAUGUUUGGGGUUGGUAAGAUUUUUUUGAAAUGUUUUUAAAAAACCCACAUC